GCGAAAGUGGUGGAAUUGGUAGACGCGCUAGGUUCAGGGUCUAGUGGGCGCAAGCCCGUGGGGGUUCGAGUCCCCCCUUUCGCA
This 84-nucleotide transfer RNA is filed under the name Calditrichota bacterium. RNAcentral's name for it is "Calditrichaeota bacterium tRNA-Leu". It matches the Rfam family "tRNA". From Rfam's summary of the family: Transfer RNA (tRNA) molecules are approximately 80 nucleotides in length. Their secondary structure includes four short double-helical elements and three loops (D, anti-codon, and T loops). Further hydrogen bonds mediate the characteristic L-shaped molecular structure. tRNAs have two regions of fundamental functional importance: the anti-codon, which is responsible for specific mRNA codon recognition, and the 3' end, to which the tRNAs corresponding amino acid is attached (by aminoacyl-tRNA synthetases). tRNAs cope with the degeneracy of the genetic code in two manners: having more than one tRNA (with a specific anti-codon) for a particular amino acid; and 'wobble' base-pairing, i.e. permitting non-standard base-pairing at the 3rd anti-codon position. The record is from RNAcentral. Lineage: Bacteria; Pseudomonadati; Calditrichota.